This is a non-coding RNA of Trichonephila inaurata madagascariensis, 69 nucleotides long. Lineage: Eukaryota; Metazoa; Arthropoda; Arachnida; Araneae; Nephilidae. The record is from the annotation of a GenBank genome assembly.
AAGUAGCGCAAAGGAUAUUGCGUUGGACUUCUAAUUUAAAAGUCGUGGGUUUGAAUCCCACCAGGAAUG